AGAGUUUGAUCAUGGCUCAGGAUGAACGCUAGCGGCAGGCUUAAUACAUGCAAGUCGAGGGGCAACAGGGGUAGCAAUACCUGCUGGCGACCGGCAAACGGGUGCGCAACACGUACAGAACCUUCCUUUAAGCGGGGGAUAGCCCGGAGAAAUCCGGAUUAAUACCCCAUAGUAUUAUUGAUUGGCAUCAAUUGGUAAUUAAAGAUUUAUCACUUAAAGAUGGCUGUGCGUCUGAUUAGGUAGUUGGUUGAGGUAACGGCUCACCAAGCCAACGAUCAGUAACUGGUGUGAGAGCACGACCAGUCACACGGGCACUGAGACACGGGCCCGACUCCUACGGGAGGCAGCAGUAAGGAAUAUUGGUCAAUGGACGCAAGUCUGAACCAGCCAUGCCGCGUGAAGGAUGAAGGUCCUCUGGAUUGUAAACUUCUUUUAUAUGGGAAGAAAUGCCUGCUUUAUAGCGGGUUUGACGGUACCAUAGGAAUAAGCACCGGCUAACUCCGUGCCAGCAGCCGCGGUAAUACGGAGGGUGCGAGCGUUAUCCGGAUUCACUGGGUUUAAAGGGUGCGUAGGUGGGUUUGUAAGUCAGUGGUGAAAUCUCCGUGCUUAACAUGGAAACUGCCAUUGAUACUACAGGUCUUGAAUUUUCCGGAGGUUAGCGGAAUAUGUCUGUAGCGGUGAAAUGCUUAGAUAUGACAUAGAACACCAAUUGCGAAGGCAGCUAACUACGGGGAUAUUGACACUGAGGCACGAAAGCGUGGGGAUCAAACAGGAUUAGAUACCCUAGUAGUCC
Molecule: ribosomal RNA, 793 nt
Filed under: uncultured bacterium
Lineage: Bacteria
Description: bacterial SSU rRNA
Rfam family: Bacterial small subunit ribosomal RNA
Source: RNAcentral